This 835-nucleotide ribosomal RNA is filed under the name uncultured bacterium. Its description in RNAcentral is "bacterial SSU rRNA". It matches the Rfam family "Bacterial small subunit ribosomal RNA", at positions 72 to 879 of the family's 1533-position model. The record is from RNAcentral.
CAGGGAGCUUGCUCCCUGUAACCGAGUGGCGAACGGGUGAGUAACACGUGAUCAACCUGUCCUAGGGCGGGGGACAACCUGGGGAAACCUGGGCUAAUACCGCAUGAUGUCUCAUUCUCGCAUGGGAAUGAGAUCAAAGAGGGCCUCUGCUUGCAAGCUCUCACCCAAGGAGGGGAUCGCGACGUAUCAGCUUGUUGGUGGGGUAACGGCCUACCAAGGCUAUGACGCGUAGCGGGUCUGAGAGGAUGACCCGUCACAUUGGGACUGAGAUACGGCCCAGACUCCUACGGGAGGCAGCAGUAGGGAAUAUUGCGCAAUGGACGAAAGUCUGACGCAGCGACGCCGCGUGUGGGAGGAAGCCUUUCGGGGUGUAAACCACUGUCAGAGGGGAAGAAUCCCGUCGGUCUGAAUAUGGCCGGCGGCUGACGGUACCCUCAGAGGAAGCGCCGGCUAACUCCGUGCCAGCAGCCGCGGUAAGACGGAGGGCGCAAGCGUUGUUCGGAAUUACUGGGCGUAAAGGGCGGGCAGGCGGUCCGUUAAGUCUUCUGUGAAAAUCCGGGGCUCAACCCCGCGAAAUGCAGGAGGUACUGGCGGACUAGAGACCGGUAGAGGCUAGCGGAAUUCCUGGUGUAGCGGUGGAAUGCGUAGAUAUCAGGAAGAACACCUGUGGCGAAGGCGGCUAGCUGGGCCGGAUCUGACGCUCAUCCGCGAAAGCGUGGGGAGCAAACAGGAUUAGAUACCCUGGUAGUCCACGCCGUAAACGAUGGGCACUAUGUACUGGGUCUAUAGACGGAUUCAGUGCCGCAGCUAACGCAUUAAGUGCCCCGCCUGGGGA